UUAAAAAUUUUUUGUCUUCAUUGAGCAAUCUCAGUUCAAAGAUUUUUUUUUUAAUUGUCGGCUGAUCAAGUCUGGUCUUUCGGAUCAAACCCAAAUUUGAACCAGUUAUAGGUGGUAGUAUGAAGAACAUCUGGUAAAAGAAUGAAACUUGUUCCGCAAUCCGUUCAAGAGUUAUGAAUUUUUUAAUUUCGUUUUUUUCCCUAUGCCUUUAGUACGCGCGCACCCUUUGCUAUGUGAUUUAUAUAUUUGCCUUUCUAGUGUGAUGCUGAAGGUUGCUCUUGGUCAUUCUUCCAGAAUACAAGUUGAAACGUCACAAAGAAUGUCAUCAAGGGAAAAAAGACUUUGCUUGUACUGUUUGCCGAAGGAAGUUGACUACGACAACUUAAAUUCACACAAAAAGCUUCACGAUCGACCAAAUAUAUACUCUUGUUCAAUUGAGCAGUGCAGUUCAGAAUUUCAAACUCAGAGAGAGUUAGAUAACCAUUUAAAGGAGCAACAUCGAGAAGUUGAAGCACUGUAUGCUUGUCAUCACUGUAAUUGCGGAAAACGAUUCCAUUCUUUAAACACCCUGACCACUCACCUUCGUAGUCAUACGCGUGUGGGUCCAUUAAUGUGCCAGUGGGAAGGUUGUUCCCGAUGUUUUGACAGGCCAUCUCAUCUGGAAUCACAUAUUAGAACCCAUACGGGAGAUCGUCCUUUUGUAUGUCAUUUUGAGGUGAGUUAAGAAUUUGGUGAUCAAAGGUUAGGAAGGAUUCAUUGUUUAUUUCAUCACAGGGC
This is a long non-coding RNA of Daphnia pulex (common water flea), 777 nucleotides long. RefSeq lists it as uncharacterized. The transcript is spliced from 3 exons. NCBI's taxonomy places the organism in Eukaryota, Metazoa, Arthropoda, Branchiopoda, Diplostraca, Daphniidae. The record is from RefSeq and is a predicted model, not a curated record.